This 253-nucleotide ribosomal RNA is filed under the name uncultured bacterium. RNAcentral describes it as "partial 16S ribosomal RNA". It matches the Rfam family "Bacterial small subunit ribosomal RNA", at positions 524 to 776 of the family's 1533-position model. The record is from RNAcentral.
UACAGAGGUCCCAAGCGUUGUUCGGAUUCACUGGGCGUAAAGGGUGCGUAGGCGGUCGGGUAAGUCUGAUGUGAAAUCUCCGGGCUCAACCCGGAAAUGGCAUUGGAUACUAUUCGGCUAGAGGUCUGGAGGGGGGACUGGAAUACUUGGUGUAGCAGUGAAAUGCGUAGAUAUCAAGUGGAACACCAGUGGCGAAGGCGAGUCCCUGGACAGAUCCUGACGCUGAGGCACGAAAGCUAGGGGAGCAAACAGG